Molecule: ribosomal RNA, 253 nt
Filed under: uncultured bacterium
Lineage: Bacteria
Description: partial 16S ribosomal RNA
Rfam family: Bacterial small subunit ribosomal RNA
Source: RNAcentral
UACGGAGGGGGCUAGCGUUGUUCGGAAUUACUGGGCGUAAAGCGCGCGUAGGCGGACCUGCAAGUCGGGGGUGAAAGCCCGAGGCUCAACCUCGGAACUGCCUUCGAUACUGCGGGUCUCGAGUCCGGGAGAGGUGAGUGGAAUUCCUAGUGUAGAGGUGAAAUUCGUAGAUAUUAGGAAGAACACCAGUGGCGAAGGCGGCUCACUGGCCCGGUACUGACGCUGAGGUGCGAAAGCGUGGGUAGUAGACAGG